GAUGAACGCUGGCGGCGUGCCUAAUACAUGCAAGUCGAGCGAACGGACGAGAAGCUUGCUUCUCUGAUGUUAGCGGCGGACGGGUGAGUAACACGUGGAUAACCUACCUAUAAGACUGGGAUAACUUCGGGAAACCGGAGCUAAUACCGGAUAAUAUUUUGAACCGCAUGGUUCAAAAGUGAAAGACGGUCUUGCUGUCACUUAUAGAUGGAUCAGCGCUGCAUUAGCUAGUUGGUAAGGUAACGGCUUACCAAGGCAACGAUGCAUAGCCGACCUGAGAGGGUGAUCGGCCACACUGGAUCUGAGACACGGUCCAGACUCCUACGGGAGGCAGCAGUAGGGAAUCUUCCGCAAUGGGCGAAAGCCUGACGGAGCAACGCCGCGUGAGUGAUGAAGGUCUUCGGAUCGUAAAACUCUGUUACUAGGGAAGAACAUAUGUGUAAGUAACUGUGCACAUCUUGACGGUACCUAAUCAGAAAGCCACGGCUAACUACGUG
Molecule: ribosomal RNA, 497 nt
Filed under: uncultured bacterium
Lineage: Bacteria
Description: partial 16S ribosomal RNA
Rfam family: Bacterial small subunit ribosomal RNA
Source: RNAcentral